UGGGGAAUUUUGGACAAUGGGGGAAACCCUGAUCCAGCCAUCCCGCGUGUGCGAUGAAGGCCUUCGGGUUGUAAAGCACUUUUGGCAGGAAAGAAACGUCAUGGGUUAAUACCCCGUGAAACUGACGGUACCUGCAGAAUAAGCACCGGCUAACUACGUGCCAGCAGCCGCGGUAAUACGUAGGGUGCAAGCGUUAAUCGGAAUUACUGGGCGUAAAGCGUGCGCAGGCGGAUCGGAAAGAAAGAUGUGAAAUCCCAGAGCUCAACUUUGGAACUGCAUUUUUAACUACCGGGAUAGAGUGUGUCAGAGGGAGGUGGAAUUCCGCGUGUAGCAGUGAAAUGCGUAGAUAUGCGGAGGAACACCGAUGGCGAAGGCAGCCUCCUGGGAUAACACUGACGCUCAUGCACGAAAGCGUGGGGAGCAAACAGG
Molecule: ribosomal RNA, 429 nt
Filed under: Acidobacteriota bacterium
Lineage: Bacteria; Pseudomonadati; Acidobacteriota
Description: Acidobacteria bacterium partial 16S ribosomal RNA
Rfam family: Bacterial small subunit ribosomal RNA
Source: RNAcentral